RNAcentral lists this ribosomal RNA (253 nucleotides) under uncultured bacterium. Its description in RNAcentral is "partial 16S ribosomal RNA". It matches the Rfam family "Bacterial small subunit ribosomal RNA", at positions 524 to 776 of the family's 1533-position model. The record is from RNAcentral.
UACAGAGGGUGCGAGCGUUAAUCGGAAUUACUGGGCGUAAAGCGCACGUAGGUGGCGACGUAAGUCGGGUGUGAAAGCCCCGGGCUCAACCUGGGAAUUGCAUUCGAGACUGCAUUGCUGGAGUACGGAAGAGGAGGGCGGAAUUCCCGGUGUAGCGGUGAAAUGCGUAGAUAUCGGAAGGAACGCCGGUGGCGAAAGCGGCGCGCUGGACCUCUUCUGACGCUGAGGCGCGAAAGCCAGGGGAGCAAACGGG